CCUUCCGUAGGUGAACCUGCGGAAGGAUCAUUACCGAGUGCGGGUCCUUUGGGCCCAACCUCCCAUCCGUGUCUAUUGUACCCUGUUGCUUCGGCGGGCCCGCCGCUUGUCGGCCGCCGGGGGGGCGCCUCUGCCCCCCGGGCCCGUGCCCGCCGGAGACCCCAACACGAACACUGUCUGAAAGCGUGCAGUCUGAGUUGAUUGAAUGCAAUCAGUUAAAACUUUCAACAAUGGAUCUCUUGGUUCCGGCAUCGAUGAAGAACGCAGCGAAAUGCGAUAACUAAUGUGAAUUGCAGAAUUCAGUGAAUCAUCGAGUCUUUGAACGCACAUUGCGCCCCCUGGUAUUCCGGGGGGCAUGCCUGUCCGAGCGUCAUUGCUGCCCUCAAGCCCGGCUUGUGUGUUGGGUCGCCGUCCCCUCCUCCGGGGGGACGGGCCCGAAAGGCAGCGGCGGCACCGCGUCCGAUCCUCGAGCGUAUGGGGCUUUGUCACAUGCUCUGUAGGAUUGGCCGGCGCCUGCCGACGUUUUCCAACCAUUCUUUCCAGGUUGACCUCGGAUCAGGUAGGGAUACCCGCUGAACUUAAGCAUAUCAAUAAGCGGAGGAAAUUU
RNAcentral lists this ribosomal RNA (607 nucleotides) under fungal sp. JF62. RNAcentral's name for it is "eukaryotic LSU rRNA". The stretch from base 220 to 373 matches the Rfam family "5.8S ribosomal RNA". Lineage: Eukaryota; Fungi. The record is from RNAcentral.